This 510-nucleotide ribosomal RNA is filed under the name uncultured bacterium. RNAcentral describes it as "partial 16S ribosomal RNA". It matches the Rfam family "Bacterial small subunit ribosomal RNA", at positions 28 to 507 of the family's 1533-position model. The record is from RNAcentral.
GACGAACGCUGGCGGCGUGCUUAACACAUGCAAGUCGAACGAAGAGCGACGGAAGCUUGCUUCUAUCAAACUUAGUGGCGAACGGUUGAGUAACGCGUAAUCAACCUGCCCUUCAGAGGGGGACAACAGUUGGAAACGACUGCUAAUACCGCAUACGAUCUAGUCUCGGCAUCAAGGAUGGAUGAAAGGUUGCCUCUACAUGUAAGCUAUCACUUAAGGAGGGGAUUGCGUCUGAUUAGCUAGCUGGAGGGGUAACGGCCGACCAAGGCGAUGAUCAGUAGCCGGUCUGAGAGGAUGACCGGCCACAUUGGGAAUGAGACACGGCCCAGACUCCUACGGGAGGCAGCAGUGGGGAAUCUUCCGAAAUGGACGAAAGUCUGACGGAGCAACGCCGCGUGAGUGAUGACGGACGUCGGGUUGUAAAGCUCUGUUAUUCGGGACGAAAGGCCUUCUUGCAAAUAGUGAGAAGGAUUGACGGUACCAGAAUAAAAAGCCACGGCUAACUACGUG